This is an RNA transcript of Heterocephalus glaber (naked mole-rat), 935 nucleotides long. RefSeq lists it as uncharacterized. The record is from RefSeq and is a predicted model, not a curated record. Lineage: Eukaryota; Metazoa; Chordata; Mammalia; Rodentia; Bathyergidae.
UUUGUUAAUUCUUCAGGACUCUACUGAGAUGGAUUAUUACUCAAAGUGCUCUAAUUCCCAACUGGUGUUUUUCUGUGGUCACUACUGCAUCCCUGGCCUCUCCGGACUUAGCGCUGUUGGGCAAAUUGCCUGGCCUCCGGAAUGCAGCUUGUGUGUCCGUGCCAGUUCUUAGUGCCCUGGAGUCCUCCAGUCCUGAUAAAAGUCUUCAGCCACAGAUUAAGCCAGAAGCUACUGUAUGACCACAAGGAUCAGAGGAGCCCUGCCUCUCUUUACUGGGAUGGCCUUUGGGGGAAGUUUAGCUGGGUCACGCCUGUCCCGGCCCGCGGUACUGGAGAAACCAAAAACCCACCAACAACCAGCCUGGAAGGAGAACCUGCCUGAGUUCAGAUAAGGCUCUACCACUUCCGAGUUGGCCGACUUCAAAGACCCCUGGCCUGCGUCCCUCGUCAUAUAUACACUCUUCAUGUGAGAAGACUAGCAGGAAGAGGGAGACCUGGGGACCAUCCCGACACUGGUGAAGAUUUUGCAAUCUCCAGUCAAAUCCAUAGACAUCCUCAGUUCCUGCAAACAUGAUACUCCAUCUGCUUGUCCCAUUUAAAUGUAGUCUUUAUAGAACCUGAGUAAUUGUUAAAAUGUAUUUUCAUAAAAUAAUUUUGUCAUCUGAUGCCAAGCAUGUUGUCUUAAGUGCAUUGCUGCUUUGGAAUUUAAUGUUUUAUCUAUUUUUGUGGUCUCUCCUUAAUUGUUAUGUAUGCUAUUCAUACAUGUUUCAUGGCUUAGGCACCCAAGCAACGAUGAUCUUUCUGCCAUUUAUGCCAACACACUAUUUAUACUACCUGAAGAUUGCAAAUCCAAGGCAUUACUAGAUGACACUGUAUCACAGCAUUACGGUAGAGUUUACUUCCCAAAUAAAGCUUUUCUUGUGCGUCAAUAUUAAA